UGGGGAAUCUUGGACAAUGGGGGCAACCCUGAUCCAGCGAUGCCGCGUGAGCGAAGAAGGCCUUAGGGUUGUAAAGCUCUUUCGCCCGCGACGAUGAUGACGGUAGCGGGAGAGGAAGCCCCGGCUAACUCCGUGCCAGCAGCCGCGGUAAUACGGAGGGGGCUAGCGUUGUCCGGAAUUACUGGGCGUAAAGCGCGCGUAGGCGGUCCACCAAGUCGGGGGUGAAAGCCCGGGGCUCAACCCCGGAAUGUCCUCCGAGACUGUUGGACUGGAGUUCGGGAGAGGAGAGCGGAAUUCCCAGUGUAGAGGUGAAAUUCGUAGAUAUUGGGAAGAACACCGGUGGCGAAGGCGGCUCUCUGGCCCGCAACUGACGCUGAGGCGCGAAAGCGUGGGGAGCAAACA
Molecule: ribosomal RNA, 402 nt
Filed under: uncultured bacterium
Lineage: Bacteria
Description: bacterial SSU rRNA
Rfam family: Bacterial small subunit ribosomal RNA
Source: RNAcentral